RNAcentral lists this ribosomal RNA (422 nucleotides) under uncultured bacterium. Its description in RNAcentral is "partial 16S ribosomal RNA". It matches the Rfam family "Bacterial small subunit ribosomal RNA", at positions 360 to 774 of the family's 1533-position model. The record is from RNAcentral.
AAUUUUGGACAAUGGGGGAAACCCUGAUCCAGCCAUCCCGCGCGUAUGAUGAAGGCCUUCGGGUUGUAAAGUACUUUUGGCAGAGAAGAAAAGGUAUCUCCUAAUACGAGAUACUGUUGACGUUAUCUGCAGAAUAAGCACCGGCUAACUACGUGCCAGCACCCGGGGUAAUACGUAGGAGACACGCGUUACACGCAAUUAGUGGGCGUAAAUCGUGUGUAGGACGAUCGGAAAGAAAAAUGUUAAGUCCCAGGGCUCGACCUUGGAAAUGCAUUUAUAACUGCCGAGCUAGAAAAUGUCAGAGAGGGGUAGAAUUCCACGUGCAGCAAUGAAAUGCCUAGAUAUGUGGAGGAAUACCGAUGGCGAAGACAGCCCCCUGGGAUAAUACUGACGCUCAGACACGAAAGCGUGGAGAGCAAACA